GGGCAUACAUUGUGGGAGCCAAGGCUUUUGUUAAUGGAAGGGAAAUUCGCGCUGGCGCCUAGCUUGAUGACUACUGGAUUUACCAAGUCACCAGUCUGCUCGUUAUGGCGCACACCUGUCACCAUCGUAACGUGUAAUUGCGCAUUAUGACACUCACCUGGACUCCAUCACCUCCUUGAUUACCUGCCCUAUAAUUGUCACUCCAUUUAGGUUCCUUCCCCAUUCGUCAUUGUAUCUGUUCCUGUUUCAUGUCGGUGCAUUUUGUGUGUUUUUUUAAAUCCAUUUAUUUAUUAAACGUAUUCACUCCCUGAACUUGCUUCCCGACUUAGCGUACAUCGUUACAGAUAUCCGAUAUUUUCCUUGCCAAAAAAAACUAUACCGAUAUUAAAAAUCUUGGCGACCU
This is a long non-coding RNA of Oncorhynchus kisutch (coho salmon), 403 nucleotides long. RefSeq lists it as uncharacterized. The record is from RefSeq and is a predicted model, not a curated record. The transcript is spliced from 2 exons. NCBI's taxonomy places the organism in Eukaryota, Metazoa, Chordata, Actinopteri, Salmoniformes, Salmonidae.